RNAcentral lists this transfer RNA (62 nucleotides) under Hyalomma asiaticum. RNAcentral describes it as "tRNA-Thr". Lineage: Eukaryota; Metazoa; Arthropoda; Arachnida; Ixodida; Ixodidae. The record is from RNAcentral.
GUUGAAAUAAUUUAUUAAAAAAUAUUGAUUUUGUAAAUCAAAUUUGGUUAAGCCUUUCAACU